AUUGAACGCUGGCGGAAUGCUUUACACAUGCAAGUCGAGCGGCAGCGCGGGGCAACCUGGCGGCGAGCGGCGAACGGGUGAGUAACAUAUCGGAACGUACCCAGUCGUGGGGGAUAACUAUCCGAAAGGAUAGCUAAUACCGCAUACGACCUGAGGGUGAAAGGGGGGGAUCGCAAGACCUCUCGCGAUUGGAGCGGCCGAUAUCGGAUUAGCUAGUUGGUGAGGUAAAGGCUCACCAAGGCGACGAUCCGUAGCUGGUCUGAGAGGACGACCAGCCACACUGGAACUGAGACACGGUCCAGACUCCUACGGGAGGCAGCAGUGGGGAAUUUUGGACAAUGGGGGCAACCCUGAUCCAGCCAUUCCGCGUGAGUGAAGAA
This 380-nucleotide ribosomal RNA is filed under the name uncultured bacterium. Its description in RNAcentral is "bacterial SSU rRNA". It matches the Rfam family "Bacterial small subunit ribosomal RNA", at positions 29 to 412 of the family's 1533-position model. The record is from RNAcentral.